RNAcentral lists this non-coding RNA (24 nucleotides) under Arabidopsis thaliana (thale cress). The record is from RNAcentral. Lineage: Eukaryota; Viridiplantae; Streptophyta; Magnoliopsida; Brassicales; Brassicaceae.
GGGUGAACUGCGGCUGUGGACAAU